GCCGAAGUGGUGAAAUUGGUAGACACGCUACCUUGAGGGGGUAGUGGGCAGAUGCCCGUGGAGGUUCGAGUCCUCUCUUCGGCACCA
Molecule: transfer RNA, 87 nt
Filed under: Gammaproteobacteria bacterium
Lineage: Bacteria; Pseudomonadati; Pseudomonadota; Gammaproteobacteria
Description: tRNA-Leu
Rfam family: tRNA
About the family: Transfer RNA (tRNA) molecules are approximately 80 nucleotides in length. Their secondary structure includes four short double-helical elements and three loops (D, anti-codon, and T loops).
Source: RNAcentral